AUAUUUAAGUUGUUGCAGUUAAAAAGCUCGUAGUUGGAUCUUGGGUCGUAAGGGUCGGUCCGCCUACUCGGUGUGCACCUGCCCUUCCGUCCCUUUUGUCGGCGGCGUGCUCCUGGCCUUAAUUGGCUGGGUCGCGGUUCCGGCGCUGUUACUUUGAAAAAAUUAGAGUGCUCAAAGCAAGCUUAUGCUCUGAAUACAUUAGCAUGGAAUAACGUGAUAGGAGUCUGGUCCUAUUGUGUUGGCCUUCGGUACCGGAGUAAUGAUUAAUAGGGACUGUCGGGGGCAUUCGUAUUUCAUUGUCA
This 302-nucleotide ribosomal RNA is filed under the name Ice core clone 145-15. RNAcentral describes it as "SSU rRNA". It matches the Rfam family "Eukaryotic small subunit ribosomal RNA", at positions 601 to 907 of the family's 1831-position model. The record is from RNAcentral.